GAUGAACGCUAGCUACAGGCUUAACACAUGCAAGUCGAGGGGAAACGAUAUUGGAAGCUUGCUUCCGAUAGGCGUCGACCGGCGCACGGGUGAGUAACGCGUAUCCAACCUGCCCAUCACUUGGGAAUAACCUUGCGAAAGUAAGACUAAUGCCCAAUGACAUUUAUAGAAGGCAUCUGAAAUGAAUUAAAGAUUUAUCGGUGAUGGAUGGGGAUGCGUCUGAUUAGCUUGUUGGCGGGGUAACGGCCCACCAAGGCGACGAUCAGUAGGGGUUCUGAGAGGAAGGUCCCCCACAUUGGAACCGAGACACGGUCCAAAACUCCUACGGGAGGCAGCAGUGAGGAAUAUUGGUCAAUGGACGUAAGUCUGAACCAGCCAAGUAGCGUGCAGGAUGACGGCCCUAUGGGUUGUAAACUGCUUUUAUGCGGGGAUAAAGUUAGGGAUGUAUCCCUUUUUGCAGGUACCGCAUGAAUAAGGACCGGCUAAUUCCGUG
Molecule: ribosomal RNA, 493 nt
Filed under: uncultured bacterium
Lineage: Bacteria
Description: bacterial SSU rRNA
Rfam family: Bacterial small subunit ribosomal RNA
Source: RNAcentral